This 735-nucleotide ribosomal RNA is filed under the name Triticum aestivum (bread wheat). RNAcentral describes it as "partial small subunit ribosomal RNA". Lineage: Eukaryota; Viridiplantae; Streptophyta; Magnoliopsida; Poales; Poaceae. The record is from RNAcentral.
AUGGCGCUGGGGUUCACCAAAUUUGAUGUGGAGAAAUUCGAUGGCACAGGUAACUUCGGUCUAUGGCAGACAAGAGUCAAGGAUAUCCUGGCGCAGCAGGGAAUCUUGAAGGGUUUGCAGGAGCCGAAGUUGGCCAAGGUUGACAACGAUGCGUGGGAGGAUACGAAAGUGCAGGCGGCCGCUACCAUACGGCUUGGUCCCGCGGAUCGGGUCAUGUAUCAUGUCAUGGACAAAGAUCCUCCCAAGGGAAUUUGGUACAAGUUGGAAAAUCGUUAUGUGUCCAAGUCAGCGACCAACAAGCUGUAUUUGAAGCAAAAGUUCUAUGGGCUGAAGAUGUAGGAGGGGUUGGAUCUUGUGGAGCAUGUGAAUGCCUUUAAUCUAUUGGUCACGGAUCUAGCGCGUCUGGAUGUGAAGAUUGAUGAUGAGGAUAAGGAACUACUUCUUGUUUCAUUGCAACCAUCCUAUGAGCAUUUGGUCAUUACAUUGACACAUGGAAAGACAACCAUCAAUAAUGAGGAAGUCACUACAACAUUGCUUGGACCUAAGUUGAGGAAGCAAACGAAUGCUACAGAGGAGAGUACUCAAGGUUUGGGGUUGGCAGUUAAAGGUUAUCAACUCAGGAAGGGCCAAGAGGCGGAGAAGAAAAAAGAAGAAAAAGGUGCAGUGCUACAGGUGCAAGGACUGGGGAUAUGUAAAGAGGGAAUGCCCAGAACUGAAGGGUGGGUAAAGUUCUAA